GGCGAACGCUGGCGGCGGGCUUAACACAUGCAAGUCGAACGGAAAGGCCCUGCUUUUGUGGGGUGCCCGAGUGGCGAACGGGUGAGGAACAGGUGAGUAACCUGCCCUUGACUUUGGGAUAACAUCAGGAAAGUGGGGCUAAUACCGGAUAGGAGCCCCUGUUGGGUUGUGGGGGGGGGAAAUUUUCAGCGGUUGGGGAUGGAUGGGCGGCUGAUGGACUUGUUGGUUGGGUAGGGGUUUACCAAGGCUUUGACGGGUCCCCGGCAGGUGAGGGUGACCGGGCACAUUGGGACUGAGAUACGGACCAGUCUCCUACGUGAGGCAGCAGUGGGGAAUCUUGCACAAUGGGCGGAAGCCUGAUGCAGCAACGCCGCGUGCGGGAUGACGGCUUUCGGGUUGUAAACCGCUUUCGCCUGUGACGAAGCGUGAGUGACGGUAAUGGGUAAAGAAGCACCGGCUAACUACGUG
This 468-nucleotide ribosomal RNA is filed under the name uncultured bacterium. RNAcentral describes it as "partial 16S ribosomal RNA". It matches the Rfam family "Bacterial small subunit ribosomal RNA", at positions 28 to 507 of the family's 1533-position model. The record is from RNAcentral.